GUGCCAGCAGCCGCGGUAAUACGUACUGGGCGAACGUUAUCCUGAAUUACUGGGUUUAAAGGGUGCGUAGGCGGCUUUAUAAGUCAGAGGUGAAAGCCCGCAGCUUAACUGUGGAAUUGCCUUUGAUACUGUAGAGCUUGAAACAGGUUGAGGUUGGCGGAAUGUGACAUGUAGCGGUGAAAUGCAUAGAUAUGUCAUAGAACACCAAUUGCGAAGGCAGCUGACUGGACCUAGUUUGACGCUGAGGCACGAAAGCGUGGGGAGCGAACAGGAUUAGAUACCCUGGUAGUCCACGCCCUAAACGAUGCUUACUCGAUAUUCGUCCUUCGGGAUGAGUGUCCAAGCGAAAGCGAUAAGUAAGCCACCUGGGGAGUACGCCCGCAAGGGUGAAACUCAAAGGAAUUGACGGGG
Molecule: ribosomal RNA, 411 nt
Filed under: uncultured prokaryote
Description: bacterial SSU rRNA
Rfam family: Bacterial small subunit ribosomal RNA
Source: RNAcentral